UGCAACAGAGAGACAUGACAAAUGCAUAAACAGCAAAUGUGCAGCAGAUACAUGAACCAUGCAAAUUUACAGCAUAUCAACUAAAUUAGUACAUAUAUUCAGUCACUUUUCUCUCUCUCUUUCUGGGAAUAUGCAUUUUUGACUUUAGAAUCAAUUCUGAAUUUGAGUCCUGUCUCUCCAAAUGGAAAUCUCUUGACCUGUUGCAGCGUGGUUUCAUUCCUCAGCCACAGUACAGUCCUACAUAAGAGACAAACAAAGAUGACUGUAGAGUUGAGUGGAGGGAGGGGUUAAAGGGAGGAGUCAAACUGUGACUCAACGACCAAAAAGACAAACUUUCACAAAUGUGGUUUAUACAAGAGGAGACUCUUUAUGUUUAAAGAUGCUUUCAGUAUAUUUGAGUCAGUUUGUGACUUUGUUUCUGCUCACAUUAACAGGUGUUAUCUGUGAUGAUCUCACUCCAGUCAAGAAUGAAGUGUUCGGUUCAGAAGACAGCACUAUAACUCUGUCCUACAGAUACUCCAAGACUGUUUCUAGUCUUGAUCAUUUCUUCUGGUAUCGUCAACAUGCAGGAAAACCACCAGAGUUUAUUCUGUAUAUCUCUGGACUUAAUUCUUCAAGACCAGCAGACUCUCUCAAAUCAGACUCAGAGUUCUCGACUAAGGUGUCUGGAAAGAACCAUCUGGAUCUACAGAUCUCCUCUGCUGCACUGAAUGACUCUGCUGUGUACUACUGUGCUCUGAGGCCCACAGUGACAGGAAACACCACAACUCUGUACAAAAACCUCUGGAGAGAAGACAACACAAUACUCCACAACAUCCACUAGAGGGAGUCACACACUGAUAAACCUAUGAUUAUUUCAUUCAUGAUACAGUUGUGAUAAAACCUUUAAGGAAUUAGAGUAGUUUAAAGAGUCUCCUCCUCCUGACUGCAGAGGAGCCUGAUGACAGAGAUCUCUUUAAAUCAAGCUGUGAACAUCAGACCAAACAGCUCACCAAACUUACUCAUACUUGUUCUUCACUUACAGCGUCUCACCUCUACAAACAUGGAACAACUCACUAUUAUCUUCAUUUUAACUCUCCUGGGUAACACCUUGGAGGAUGAUAUUACUGCCAGCAGUGCUGAAGUGUUUUCAUCAGAGGGUCACAGUGUUACUCUGUCCUGUAAAUACUCAGUUAAAGCUGAUAAUCUCCAGUGGUAUCAACAAGAUCCUGGA
Molecule: long non-coding RNA, 1213 nt
Organism: Labrus mixtus (cuckoo wrasse)
Lineage: Eukaryota; Metazoa; Chordata; Actinopteri; Labriformes; Labridae
Exons: 3
Source: RefSeq, a predicted model, not a curated record